UAAGAUAGCAGCGGCGGCAGCAGCGCGGCCAUGGCAGAAAUGCAGCGCGUGGCCGAAGCUCAGCGCCAGUACCUGCUCGACAUGAUCCCCGGCCAACAUGCGCGCAACCCCUGGACCAAGAACUAGCGAGGAUCGGAGGCUUCGGAUGAUUUAGAUAUUUUAGAUAAAGACUAGUAAGAAAUUUACAAUAGGUAAGCACCUGAGGAGUGGGCUUGUCGUAACAUAAGUAUCUUUUUAACGUUUUUAAUUAUAAAUUAAUGAUACAUAAUAAUGCACAAGAUUUAAAAAUACGUAAUUGUCUAGACGACCGGUAAGUUACAGUAAUAAAUGUAAUUAAUUUAAGACGAUCGUUUUGUAUGUCUGGUUUUAAAAUAAUAAAUAAUUUUAAGAU
This is a long non-coding RNA of Cydia fagiglandana, 391 nucleotides long. RefSeq lists it as uncharacterized. The transcript is spliced from 2 exons. Lineage: Eukaryota; Metazoa; Arthropoda; Insecta; Lepidoptera; Tortricidae. The record is from RefSeq and is a predicted model, not a curated record.